GAUGAACGCUGGCGGCGUGCCUAAUACAUGCAAGUCGAGCGAACAGACGAGGAGCUUGCUCCUCUGACGUUAGCGGCGGACGGGUGAGUAACACGUGGAUAACCUACCUAUAAGACUGGGAUAACUUCGGGAAACCGGAGCUAAUACCGGAUAAUAUAUUGAACCGCAUGGUUCAAUAGUGAAAGACGGUUUUGCUGUCACUUAUAGAUGGAUCCGCGCCGCAUUAGCUAGUUGGUAAGGUAACGGCUUACCAAGGCAACGAUGCGUAGCCGACCUGAGAGGGGGAUCGCCCACCCGGAACCUGAAAACCGUUCCAGCCACCGAGGGGAGGCAGAGAUAGGGAAUCUUCCGAAAUGGGCAAAAGCCUGACGGACCACCGCCGGUGGAGUGAUAAGGUCCUGCGGACCGUAAAACUUUUUUAUAGGGAAAAAAAAAAUGUGGAGGUAAAUGUGCCCGUCUUGACGGUCCCUAAAGAGAAGCCCAGGGCAAACAGCAA
Molecule: ribosomal RNA, 496 nt
Filed under: uncultured bacterium
Lineage: Bacteria
Description: partial 16S ribosomal RNA
Rfam family: Bacterial small subunit ribosomal RNA
Source: RNAcentral